GACGAACGCUGGCGGCGUGCUUAACACAUGCAAGUCGAGCGGUAAGGCCCUUUCGGGGGUACACGAGCGGCGAACGGGUGAGUAACACGUGGGUGACCUGCCCUCAGCUCUGGGAUAAGCCCGGGAAACUGGGUCUAAUACUGGAUAUGACUCCAUGACGCAUGUUGUGGGUGGAAAGCCUUGUGCGGCUGAGGAUGGGCCCGNGGCCUAUCAGCUUGUUGGUGGGGNAUGGCCUACCAAGGCGACGACGGGUAGCCGGCCUGAGAGGCGACGGCCACACUGGACUGAGACACGGCCCAGACUCCUACGGGAGGCAGCAGUGGGGAAUCUUGCGCAAUGGCGAAAGCCUGACGCAGCGACGCCGCGUGAGGGAUGACGGCC
RNAcentral lists this ribosomal RNA (381 nucleotides) under uncultured bacterium. RNAcentral's name for it is "bacterial SSU rRNA". It matches the Rfam family "Bacterial small subunit ribosomal RNA", at positions 28 to 416 of the family's 1533-position model. The record is from RNAcentral.